UCACUUGCAAACCUUUUAUUUAAGAUUUGUCCAUGAUCGCGGAAUAAAAUACAAAAGCAAUCAAAAAAUCACAACGUUUUCUAAAAUUAACUGUCCUCCCUUUGGGAUUUACAGCCCUCUCCAAAGAAAACCUUCUGCACAGCUGCCAGUUUGUCAAGACAAAACGAUUUUUCUUUCUUCCU
Molecule: long non-coding RNA, 182 nt
Organism: Perognathus longimembris pacificus (Pacific pocket mouse)
Lineage: Eukaryota; Metazoa; Chordata; Mammalia; Rodentia; Heteromyidae
Exons: 3
Source: RefSeq, a predicted model, not a curated record